UUAAACUGGCGGAAUUAACAGAUGAUAACGACUCCCAUUUUAUAUAAGGAUAAGUGUAAACUUCCAAUCUACUUGACUAUGAGUUUGAAAUCACGGUAUCCAUAAGUCCAAAUAUAAAAAGGGCAUUAGAGCCAAAAACAAAAUGGAUAUUCAUCGUUCAUUUAGUAAUCUUCUACAUCUCCCCGUACCUGGAGAUGGAAACCUUGAGCACUGGCAUGAUGCCAUCAAUAUCCAUCAGCUCGAACAAGCAACCUCCCAACUGAAGAUGGUUAGCCUUUGCAAAUGUCGGUCGGUCAAGUUUCCCAUGUACAUCUCCGCUUCAUUUUGUGUUUUUUUACUUCCAUAAGCCACUAAUGCGUUGAUUUGUUCUUCUUCUAGGUAUCUUCGACAACUUGAAUAAGUUUCAUAGUCUGAUCCUUCCAAUUGGUAUCAUCUGCACUCAAUUCGUAUAAUAUGCACUCACAAACACAAAAACAAAGGGAAAAUAAAUCACUCCCAUCAUAAAAAAAGCUCAAUAGGUCGAUUUCUAAUAUUGUUAUUAUUACCACACAAUUGUGACAGCGUUAUGACUUCCCUAUUACAAUAUUGCAUGAUGGAUAGGUUUUGGUCUUCCCCUUGCUUGUGUCAUUUAGCAAAUCUAAAUAAUCAUAGCCUGGCUAAACAGAACAAACUCUAAACUACACAAAAUCUUUAUGAUAUCACCAAUAACUAAUUCAAUAAAAAUGGCUGAUCGAAAGAGAGAUCAAAAAACAAAUUUUACGUACAACGGGAACGUAAGUUCCACAUAUAAGAUAAUACAUAAUAGAAUGAGAUUUAACAUUAAGAUGAGUAAAAUGAGUAAAAUGCAGUAUAAUAUCGUAUACAGAGAUGAAUUGUAACCCUACAACUAUUUACUUGCUUACUAUGUUUCAUAUAUCUCCUCCCCCAAUGAGGCUAAGCAUCUGAAUCUAAAAAAAUCUCAAUUGAGAUUUAAUCUCCACGAUCAUCACCAACAUUCUCCUCCAUUUAUGAAUCCGA
This 1017-nucleotide long non-coding RNA is filed under the name Linum usitatissimum (flax). RNAcentral's name for it is "long non-coding RNA (LUSI_LNC004451)". The record is from RNAcentral. Lineage: Eukaryota; Viridiplantae; Streptophyta; Magnoliopsida; Malpighiales; Linaceae.